This 253-nucleotide ribosomal RNA is filed under the name uncultured bacterium. Its description in RNAcentral is "partial 16S ribosomal RNA". It matches the Rfam family "Bacterial small subunit ribosomal RNA", at positions 524 to 776 of the family's 1533-position model. The record is from RNAcentral.
UACGGGGGGAGCAAGCGUUGUUCGGAAUCACUGGGCGUAAAGGGAGUCUAGGCGGUUUGGUAAGUGGGAUGUGAAAUCCCCGGGCUCACCCCGGGACCUGCAUCCCAAGCUGCUGAGCUUGAGUACAGGAGAGGGUGGGGGAAUUCCAGGUGUAGCGGUGAAAUGCGUAGAUAUCUGGAGGAACACCGGUGGCGAAGGCGCCCACCUGGCCUGCUACUGACGCUGAAGCUCGAAAGCUAGGGGAGCAAACGGG